Molecule: ribosomal RNA, 498 nt
Filed under: uncultured bacterium
Lineage: Bacteria
Description: bacterial SSU rRNA
Rfam family: Bacterial small subunit ribosomal RNA
Source: RNAcentral
AUUGAACGCUGGCGGAAUGCUUUACACAUGCAAGUCGAGCGGCAGCGCGGGGGCAACCCUGGCGGCGAGCGGCGAACGGGUGAGUAACAUAUCGGAACGUACCCCGUCGUGGGGGAUAACACAGCGAAAGCUGUGCUAAUACCGCAUACGACCUGAGGGUGAAAGCGGGGGAUCGCAAGACCUCGCGCGAUGGGAGCGGCCGAUAUCGGAUUAGCUUGUUGGUGAGGUAAAGGCUCACCAAGGCGACGAUCCGUAGCUGGUCUGAGAGGACGACCAGCCACACUGGAACUGAGACACGGUCCAGACUCCUACGGGAGGCAGCAGUGGGGAAUUUUGGACAAUGGACGGAAGCCUGAUCCAGCCAUGCCGCGUGAGUGAAGAAGGCCUCGGUUGUAAAGCUCUUCGGUCCGGGAGAAAUCGCACGGGUGAAUACCCUGUGUGGAUGACGGUACCGGAACAAGAAGCACCGGCUAACUACGUGCCAGCAGCCGCGGUAAU